This 40304-nucleotide long non-coding RNA is filed under the name Triticum aestivum (bread wheat). RNAcentral describes it as "long non-coding RNA (TAES_LNC002196)". The stretch from base 18053 to 18187 matches the Rfam family "MIR1120/MIR1122 microRNA precursor family". Lineage: Eukaryota; Viridiplantae; Streptophyta; Magnoliopsida; Poales; Poaceae. The record is from RNAcentral.
CGGCAUGAAGCUCCAUUUGCGCGCAUGUGUGGCUCGGCUAACUAGUUUGUGCAGUUCGCAUGAUACCUUUAUUAUGUGAUGCCUCCCUAGUUGCUGGAGUUCACUUCUUUGUAUUUAUUGAAACAUCAUGUAGUGCACUGUGAAACUCUCUGUUGUUCACUUGUAAAAACAAAUAGCGGUUCCCUUUGUAAAAAAAGUGCAGCCCCUUAGUGGUUCACCUUGUAGAAAAUGAGAAAGAAAUCCCCAUGGGAGGUUCACUUCUUUUUCCAAUGCAUUUUGUUUUGUUUGUGGGAUGAUUGAAAAAAGAAGUUCACUCCACUUGUUUAGUAGCUCAUACCCCUUUGUAUGAAAUGCAAUUUGUUUCGUGUGUCUCAAAAUCAGUCGACUACAUCAACACGUGCAGUGCGUUUGGUUUUUGGAUGUGGUUCAUUUUUUAGAGUGAUGUUGUUCACUUGUGCCGAACAUGAAAGCACAAAAAAAAUUAGCAAAACAAUAAAAAUAGUAAUGCGGUUCACUAUGAUAUAUGAUGUGGUUCGCUUGCUCGCGUCUCUGCGGUCCACUCUUGUUCAUAAAAAAAUUGAAAAAAACCAUCAAAAACUCGUCCGAGAAAAAUUUACAUCCGACAAAGGAAACCAUGAAGUUCACUUGCCUGUCUGAUGCAGUGCGGUUUCAUCCGAUGCAGUGCGGUUUUCUGUCGAAUGACGUUCACUCACCGAUUUGGGUGUCGCAAAAAACAGUGUCCGCAUAUUCGUAAUUUUAAAAUUUCUUUUAAACCGUAAGGAAUUAGAGAGAGUGUUCUACAUGAAAAAGUUGCGUCUCGUCGAUAUCUUUCCAAUGCCAUAUCAUUUGAAUCAUUUUGACAAGCAGUUUGUAAAAGUUUGGCAAAAAACGACUGCUGCCACUCAUCGUCCGCCGCACCAUUUUAAAAAUUAACUUAAAACCGUAGGGAAUCUCGAAACCAUUUCUACAUAUGAAAGUUGCGCCUUGUCCAUAGCUUUCCAACGAUGUAUUACACGCCUCAGUUCGAUAAACGGUUCAAAAACUAGAGUGAAAACAGUAUCGAACAUUGCAAAAAAUUUCAAAAACGUAAUUUCGCGAUUUAGUAAAUUUGAAACUGCUCAAAACCGAAACGAAUUAGAGAAAAUAAUAGGUAUGGAAAAGAUGUGCCUCAACGAUAUCUUUCCAACGGCGUAUCAUUUGCUUUAUUCCGAUGAGCGGUUUUGAAAAAAUCAUGAAAAUACGCUCGCUGCCACUCGUCAUCUGCAGCACCGUUUUUGAAACUGCUCUUAAACCGCGAGGAUCUUGAAAAGUGUUCAACAUGGCAAAGUUGCGCCUAAUCCAUAGCUUCUCCAGGUAUAUUACACGCAUCAUUCUGAUAAAUGGUUAAAAAAUUAGAGCGAAAAAACUACUAAAAAUACUGCAGCACACUUGGUUCAAACAAUGACGUGCACUUGCGUUGAGCGUGCACUUCGGAAGUGUUAUCAGAAUAACUAUUCUGCUAAUAUUAGCAUAAUAGACAGACUGUAUAUAUAUAUACAUCUGGUUACCCUAUGAUGAAUUCAAGCGGUUGAACUGAUGCUUUCUGUUCCUGUUAAAAAUCGUCUUUUUUAGUUCAAAAGUUUUUACAAUUUUUUUAUCAAAAUAGGGCGUGUAAUAUAUCAUUGGAAAGCUCUUGACAUCCACAUUACAAUAUUAUAAUUUUUUUUUGCAAAAAAAUUAAGAUUUACGAGCAGUUUUGAAAAAACCGUUUUUUUUUCAAACUGAAAAUGCGAAUCGUAUUUUGGACUUAAUUUUCAAACGGUUUGUUGGAAUUGAGCAAAUGAGAUGGCAUUGGAAAGCUUGUGAAAAUCCGCAUCUUCUAUAUUUCUACUAUUUUUUCAAAUUCUAUACGAUUUAAAAGUAAUUUGAAAAAGAGUGAAAUUCUGGGUGAAAUGUUUUUUCACUAUUUUUUUGCAAAUGGUUUGUAGGAUUGAUACAAAUGAUAUGGUGUUGGAAAGCUAUGGAAAAUGUGCAAAUUUUGCGUAUAGAAAGUUUUUUCUAAUCCUUACGGUUUAAAUACGAAUUCAAAUACGGUUAAAAUUGAUUUUGAACGUGUUUUUUAAAAAGUUUGUCGAAAUGGGGAAAAUAAUAUACCGUUGGAUAGCUAUCGAAAAUGCAAAACUUAGUCAUGUUGGACGUUUUCUCUACUUCGCAACCGUUUAAGAGUAAUCUUGAAUACGGCAUGACGGAUCCUGCUAUUUUCUCGUCUGAAAAACAGAUUAGUCGUACUGAUAUAUGUGUAUGUUUGUACUGAGCUAUUUUUUGUAGAGUAAUUUUAAAUGGUGCCGAAAAAAUGUACUUAUACUGAUGCUUGCAUGGUUUUGUACUAAACGUGUUUUCACUAACUAGACUUUGCUCUGUUUUUUCGUGAGAACCAUCAUGCUGUUUUUUUGUGAGAAAAAAUAGAGUACUUGUACUGAUCUUCGUGUGUGUUUGUACUAAUGUAUUCUUCAAAGAGUAAUUUUGAAAGGUUACGAAAAAAGAGUACUUGAACUGAUGUCCGUAUGGGGUUGUACUGAGCGUUUUUUCACAGACUAGGCUUUACUCUAUUUUUUUACUGAAAAUUGUUUCAUCAAUUGUUCGCAAAUGAUAGUACGAACUAAGAUAUGUGUUGGUUUGUACUGAGCAUUUGUUUCAUCAUUUGUUCGCAAUUGAUAGUACGAACGGAGCUUUGUUCAUUUUUAUACUGAGCAUUCUUGUCAGUGCCAGGAUCUCCGGAUUUAUGUUGUUUUGUUCUGCGAACUUCCUCAAAAUUUUAUUGGUAAAUCACACCGUUUUUUUUCUUUUGCUAAAUUUUUGUCCUCUGAACUUGUGACCUAUGGAGUUUGUACUGAUAUGAAUCGUUUUGCCGAACCGCCACAAUUUUUUGUGUAUUGAAUCACUAUAUAACUUAGAACCAAAUUGUUUUUCUUAACAUAUAUUUGAAUUGUUUCUAUAUGUACAUUGAAUUGGGGAAGAGUAGCAAUAGUUAUACAUACUUUAUGGAUAGUAAUACAUGAAUUUCUUGGUAAACUGAAGAAUAUACUCUGGACCGUAAUACAUGUCCUCUCGAGUUUGUACUGAUGUGAAUCCUUUUGAACUUGCUCUCGACGGUAAUACAUGACCUCUCGAGUUUGUACUGAUGUGAAUCCAUUCGAACUUACGUGGCUUACAUCAUUGAACGGACUCUAUUCUUCUCACUACCACCAUUGUUUUGUCCAUUUCUUUUUGGACUUGCAUGGCUUACAUCGUUGAACGGGCUUAGGUGGAUAUGUACUAAUGAACUACUAUGAUUUGUAGCUCUCAGGAAAUGUAAUCCUUUCUUUCCCUGUUAUUCUGAAUACCAAACAGCAAAAAAUCAGUUCUCAUAAGCACGAAAAAAUUAUAUAUGUACCCCUAAAUUUUGCAGCUAUUUUGUCCUCUUUCAUUUCGAAAAAAGCAUACAAAAAGCAAAAGCACAAACUAUACAAAAGGUUUUAGACACCAAACUAGUAGAGAAUUAAAAAUAGGCAUCAGGCAGCAACUUGCUAAACAUAGCACGAGUCAUAUACAUAUGCAUUUCAUCCCAUUAUACUUCUCCACCCGCAUGGAAAGUGAGAGAACCUCCCUACAUGCAUAUAUAGGCAUCAAACUCCCUCUGUACCUGAACUAUAUUUUUGUUUGAUAUAUAUUAUGAACUCCUCUCGUCGAUGUACAUGAACCUGCUGUGCAGAGAGAUGAAAUGUAGUACAUCAGUCUAGCUUCAUUCAGCUAGAGAGAAACAUGAAAAAAUGUUCAGUUUUUUAGACGGCUUUCCUCUUUUUCUUUGUCCAAUCUGCGCCACGACUGCCACCAUCCUGCAUGCAAGCUUAAAAUUAAUUGAAGCCACCAAACAUGCACUUUCAUGAGACUUUGCUACUAUAAGUCAGCGAACAUAUCUUUUAGUAUUAAACCAAAGGCACACUUAUUACCCAGCACUCUUGUUCAGUUCAGAGCAUCAUCAAUAAGAUAAAGAUACGAAAACAUUAAGCCAAUAUAGAACAACUGGAUUGAUUUGAUUCAAAUUUUUACUUUCAAUGCAUUGUAGGCAACAGCCGAUCCAAGUCAGAACUGAUGUGAUUUAUUCCAUCGAACUGAUAUGAAAGUUUAUCUAUACUGUUCUGUUUUUUAACACACAUGUUUUGAACUAUUCCCGCUUUUUUCAUUAUGAAUUGAUGACAUAACACAUGUUGAACUGUUACACAAGAGCAAAUUCAGAAAUACAUAACAAUGGUGUACUCAAAAUAUGUGCAUUUUAAGGAACAAAACUUUCUGAACCUUCUAUACGAAAAACUUCAACUAUCAGUCCAAAGAGAUUUGAAGUUAAACAAUCAUUUCCCUUACUGAGUGUUAAGGAAAACGAAACCAGAGAUGACCUCGCCGGCAGUAGGAGUAGCGAUGGCUGCCAAGGCGACGCGUUGGUACAUGUACUAAACAUCUGCUCAAACCUGUUGUAACAUCUACUUCAAGCUUUUUCUAAAUCAUUGUUGGGAGUAGAGGGUUUUAAAAGAAAAUACAGAGUGCCAAAGAAAGAAAGGAACAACCUAUUUAUCUAAAGGACUGUGAUAUUUGGCACACGUGUGCCAUAUAAGGAAAACUGCCACACCUCUAUUUCUUUCAUUUUAAAGUACCAUACGAUCCCUCGUUCUUUGACCCCGCCUCUUCCCAAAUUACCCCGCAGGCUCGCCUGAGAAACCCGCUUCUCCCGCACAUCUCGGGAGCUUACCCCCGAGAAAACUGCCACUUCUUCACGUCUACCACAUGAUCUCUCCUCAGGACAAAGUUACCAUGAUAUUCAUAUGAAAGUUAUUAGGCCUGUGUUGCAUAGCUUACCGUACUAUUUACAUGGAACGUAUCAGGUACUAUGCUUCAACAACUAGACCCUUUCAAAGUUACCACUAUGUUUUGUACACAAGUUAUAAGGUCUUCGAUGUGCAAAAUACCGUGGUACUUACACAUAAGUUAUCAGGGUAUAUGUACAUCAACCUCCCCCCGGUCAAAGUUACCAUGGGGGAUUGUACAUGAGUUACCAGGUCUACGGUUCGUAUAUUAUCAUGGUACUUGCACCUAAAAACCUGGGUGUGUUUCGGUAGCUUUUCUCAUAGGUCAAAAAUUACCAUGAUGUUUUUGCGUAACUUAACAUGCCUAUAGCACGUGUGCCCCUCGUGACACUAAACAUUAUGUGACUUUCUCGUGGCACGCCAUGUGUUGUGUUCAUCCAAGAGGCCCACGCGCGAGGCAAGUGUAUUUUUUUAACAACUUAUAUAUUUUCCUUUGGUAAAAAAGUUAUCAUCAUGUUUAUAUUGCAAGUUAUCGGUUAUGCGGUGCUUAUAUUAUCAUGUUAUUUACACAAAAAUUAUUGGGGAUGUUUUGAACAACUUUUUCCCGAGGUAAAAAGUUAUCAUGGUGAUUCUAGGUAACCUAUCAAGCCCGUAGUGCUUAAAAUAUCAUGCUAUUUACAUAAAAUUUAUCAAGGAUAUGUUUCAGCAACAAAUUCCACCCCCCCAUGGGUCAAAAAUUUAUCAUGGUGUUUAGUUAUCGCAGUGCAUAUGUUUUCAUACUAUUUACACAUAAAAAUGCCAGGGGAGGGAGGUAUACUACCGUGCUAUUUACACAGAAGUUACCGGAGUAUCUUAAAAAAAUUCCCUACGGUCAAAGUUACCAUGGUGCUUCUACCUCCGUUAUUAGAUGUGCGCUGCGUAUAUUACCAUCUAUUUACACAUAAACUAUCAGGUAUCUUUUCACAUUUGUUGUCCCCAAUGGUUAAAGUUACCACGAUGUUUGUAUCUAAAUUAUCAGGUCUAUGGCGUGAAUGUUAUCGUACUAUUUACAGAAAUUACCGGAGGGCGGGUUCAACAAAUUUAUUCACAAUGAUCAAAGUUACCACGAUGCUUGAAACAAAAAGUUGCUAAAGUAUUAAAGGCAAAAACAUGUCAAAAACAGUAUUACCCUUAGAAUGUUCAACAAUGAGUAUCAUAGGUGAGGUGGUUAGCUCCCUUUGUUAAUUACCUGCAGACCAGAGAUCAAAUCCUAGUCUAAGCAUUAUUUUUGCUCAAAAUUGAGAAGGCAUGUGGGGCCAUAAAUGACGAUUACGAAAAUUAGGAAGGCACAAGCGGGAGAGAAUUGAUGACAUUGGAUGCGUGUGGCAGUUUCGCAAUCUGCCACACGGUUGCCAUAUACAUAUUUCGUUAUCUAAAUAGUGUGUGGAAUUGUUUAUAUGGAUGAACAAAACAUUACUUGAAGUAGAGGUUCUGCCAAAAGAAAGAAAGAGCAUCUUGCAGGUUCAAGUUUGAGUAGUUGAGCCAGACAAUUUAUCGUAGGUGUUGUAUGUAAUAAUAAUUUAAUUAUUUUCAUAGGAGUACGACUCAUAGUAUCGGCAUGGAGGUCGUGAACAAAAGCAGAAGUAUCCUUAAUUUUUUAUUAGUGACUGUAAUUUUCCUUAUAAAGAACAUACUACUCUCGUGUAAACCCAUCCCUCUACAUAUGUACUGUCAGUUUUUUGCAAAUCGAACAAAUUGCGUAUGUAGCAAGUGCUAGUAUCUUGAAAUGCAGUUAUGCGUAUGCCCCUAAGAGUAGGUGAAUAGAAAACUCGAACAAAAAAUAGCUUUCUCCUAAUAGUAAUCGUGCUAGAACUCAUUCAAAGCUGAAGUGAACUAUAAUUAUAACCAGCCUUUGUCAAUAGAAGUCCUACUAAUCACAAAUUCCUCUAAUUUCCUCCAGACUCAAGAUCAAGAUGGUGGACAGUGCACGGAUAUUACAAAAUUAACAAUUCACAAUACGAAUUAAGUAUCACAAAUUGCAAGGCACAAGUUUUGAGCACAUACAAUCUUUCAUUGGUAGGCAGCACUACAACUUUGGAGGUCAACACAUUAGGCAAACUCUUUGGAAUUAAGAUAGUGAAAAGUAAAUGUAUGCGAAAGCAAGCUUCCAUUCGGUAAACCAUCAAGCCCAGAUUGCUGCACUCCGAAUUUCCUUUAGACUCAUACGCUACCUUCAGAUCAGCAAGCUUUAUGUUCAGCAAGUGUGUAACAAAACAAGAAUUGAACUGGAAUAGAAUUUGAAAUUUGAACUGAAAUACAAUACGAAAACUAAACUGAGUGUACUUUCAGAUUUUCACAUGGGCAUUAGUGCAUGAAGCAGCAAUGAAAUUGAACUGAAACAAAUUUCAGUUCAGCAAACUUAUAUGAAGUUAUAUGAAGCAUGCUUGAAUGCGUUGACCCGAAGCAUGCUUGUAGGAGAGUAGUGGCACUGGAAGGGAGCCUUUUGCUGAACUUAUAUGAAGUUAUAUGAACUUGUCUAACUUAUAUGGAACUUAUAUGAAGCCUUUUGCUGAACUUAUAUGAAGUUGACCAGACAAGAUGAUACCGGGGCGCAUCAGAAUAUAGGAGAGUGGUGAUGCAAGUCAGUCACCGGCUGGAUAAUGAAGCGGGUGGUAUGCGGCAUGGAGACAACCAGAAAAUGGGACAUCCAGGGGUAGGGAGCGUCGUCGCUGAAGAUCAGAGAGUGUGGAGCGCAGGCGUGCGGUGUCCCCCGGCCGGCAACGGAGACGAAGGAGAUCGGGGAUAGUGCACUUUUUUCGUCAGCCUGCAAGAUGCUCAAGGACCAGGACAACAUGUAGUUUCAGAAUUACAGAUUGUGGUCAGCUAUAGGAUGUUUCUGGGACCAUGUUUUAGCUACGAGAGAGCAACAACAUCACAUCAUGAGAGAGAGGAUGCAGCAUCAAAAAUUCAGGAGAAAGAUCAGAGCAGAGCAGAAGUAAAUAUGUUUUGAGGAGAUGAACUGACCAGGAUUUAAAUGAACUCUCACUAGCAGUAAUUUUUGUACUUCGCAUGUAGUACUACAUGGACUUGCUGUAAAAUACAUGGACCAUGUAGUAAUUUUGAAGUUAAUUAUAUGAUCAUCUCAGGGAGCUCAAGUUGUACUGAAAGCUCAAGUUGGACUGAAACUCACUCGAUAACUAAAACUCCUAGGGCGAGGGGUGGGAUCCAGGGUGCUGCUAGCAAUGAAUGGCCUGGGGUGGUGGCGUUGAACGGCCUGGAGUGGUGGCUGUGAACAGCCAGGGUGCUCCGGCGGCAGAGCCCCACCGGAGAUGGUGAUGCAAGCAGGAGGUCGGGAAGCAGUGGUGCCGGUGGUCGGGGUUGUCCAAUGCACACGGCACACCAGUACAGGAAGUUGAUUCAUCACCCAUCCACAGUUUUUUUCCUUUUGGGAAUCCAUUGAACUGAAAAAAGCUACAUGUGAGCUGAAAGUAUGAAAAUAACACAUCUUUGAAAGAAUAAAGAACUAGCUUUAACUUAUCUAUGAAAGAAUACACCUCCGAGGAACUAGCUUUGAACAUAUCUCUGAAAGAAUAGAGAGCAUGCAAAGUUCAAGGAAAGAAUAAGCAAAAUGGCACACUAGUACGCAGUAGUACGAGUCCAGUCAUGUACGUGCUAGUAUUAGAUUUGAAUAGUAGCUAGAAUUGAAGUUCAGGUAACCAUGGCACACACAUCAUACAGUUUUAGUCAUGUAUGCACACACACUGUAAUAGUAGCUGCAAUUAAAGUUCAAAUAACCACGGCACCCAUAACAGAACAAGAAUCAGUCUAGCAGCUAGGCAAGCAAGCUUCAUCAGCAUGAAUACACAUCAGCGGCAAGCUAGAACACGCUAGUAGGCUGUAGAAGUCUCCUUGUAAUUUUUCAAACAGAAGUGCUUUAGUUCAGUUCAGUAGUAAGGCAUGGAAAAAGAAAAGCAAUGGAAUAAACUAUAACCGAGCCAAAUAUGUAAUUUCAACAACCUAGACCUCAUUGCUUGACUUCAGUAGUAAUACAUGAUCAUCAGUUCAAUAUAAACAGACUGAUGUUAACAUCAUCGUACAUCCAUUGCCGGUUCAUCUGCGUGCAUUAUAUAUAAUUAAGUGUGUCAAAAACCAUUACAGAAUAGCAUGAAUACAAAAGACCAAAUUAAUAGAAGUUCAUCAUCACAUUAAAACCAAAGUACAGUAGUGAUCAAAUGUUGUUACUGAAAAAAUAAAUACAUAAAGUUCAUACAUAUAUAGUUCUCAUUGAACAACAUAUAUAUAGCUCUCUAGAGCAUCUAAUUAAACCAUACAUUGAAACAAUGUAAAAACAUUUCAAUGCAACAACAAAUGCGAUCAUAAUCGCAACUAAGGUAACAAUUGAUCCAACGGCAUAAUGAUGCCAAGCCUCGGUAUGAAUGGCAUAUUUUCUAAUCUUUCUAAUCUUCAAGCGCAUUGCAUCCAUCUUGAUCUUGUGAUCAUUGACGACAUCCGCAACAUGCAACUCCAAUCCCAUCUUCUCCUCCUUAAUUCUUUUCAAUUUUUUCUUCAGGUAAUUGUUUUCUUCUUCAACUAAAUUUAACCUCUCAACAAUAGGGUCGGUUGGAAUUUCCGGUUCACAUACCUCCUUGAUGAAAACAUCUAUGUCAUGUUGGUCGGCAUAAUUUUCAUACACACUAAAUGAACAAAAUAGUUAUAAAAUAUAAUAUAUACCACAUCGGAAUCAUAGACAGGACGAGGGCCGACGGAGGCGGAUACCAAAACCAUCGCACUAUAUGAUAACAAAAAAUAAUAAAAGUAAUAAAAUUAUACAAGUAUCUAUCUAAAUCAUACAAGUAAGAACUUUUUUCUUUUAGAAGAUAAGAACAAGAGGCUCACCACGGUGGUGCCAGCGACGAGAUCGGCGCGGGCGAUCGACAGCGGUGAGGACGGGGACGGGACAGGAUGGACCGCCAAACCUAGACAAAUCUUAAGGAAAAUGGAGUUUGGACAAGGAGCUUCGAGAGGAGAAAGCUUAAGUAUGUCUCGGACAUUUCACCGAACACCUCAUGUGCAUAGGAGGUGAGCUAGAGCACCACAAAGCUCUCCCACGGCCGGCCAAAAAAUAGAGCAAUGCACUGCUCUGCUCGCGGGCAGGGGGAUAUAUAGGCCUCUCUUUAGUCCCGAUUUGUGGCUAGAACCGGGACUAAAGGACCCCAUUUGGUCCCGAUUCCAACCACCAACCGGGAUUAAAGGUUGUGGGCCAGGAGCGAGGCCCAUUUGUCCUGGUUCGUGUCUGGAAGCGUGACCAAAGGGGUCAGACGAAUCGGGACCAAUGGCCCCCGAGGCCCUGCUGACGCCCUGGCUUUAUGAACCGAGAUUGAUGCACCCAUUAGUCUCGGUUCAUAGGGAAACCGGGAUUAAUGCCCUUUUCAGACCUGGACCAAAGCCCUAUUUUCUACUAGUGUUGUAGGCCUCGCUCACAUGAAGUAAGAACGGUCGGUGACGAUGCCUCAUAAAUCCAUGUGGUGCAAUCAUAGUUGGUGGUGCAGGGGAGGAAGUAACCUUCUUUGAUGGGGAUUCCAUCGCACGCUUGUUCGUCAUGUAGACGCGUCCUCUUAAUUUCUGUUCAGCUUUACAGGCAAGACGAAACAAAUGAUCGAUAGAAUAUAGUCUUCAUGCAUUAUUAUGUCUUGUAUAUCAUGGUUUAAACCUUUCCAAAAUCGAUUCAGAAAAUCUUCUUCGCAUUCUUGUAAGCCAGAACGAAACAAAGCAAUACACAAAUUGUCAUAAUAUUCUUCAACAAUGAUAUUGUCUUGUUCUAAACGUUUUAAUUUUCAAAGCAAAUCACUGGCAUGAUAUGAAGAACAAAUCGGUCUCGCAUAACAAGUUUUAAAUCUUUCCAAGUAGAAGGCCUAUUAUCAAUAUUUUUCCUGCAAUAAUUUCUCCACCAAACUGAAGCAAAACCUAAAAACAUCUUAGUGACAACAUUUAUUUUCUUAUGCUUGGGAAGUUCAUGGCUAGCAAAUAUUUCUUCUACCUCAAUUUCCCAAUCAAUAUAUGAAUCAGGGUCAUAUUUACCCUUAAAAUUUGGCAAAGAGGUAACAUGAUGAUGUGUGUUUCUACCAUGAUGUAUAUCAUGUGACGAUCGUCGUACCUUUUGUGGUGGGAAAGAGUGAUCUUUAUCAAUAUAUGGCAAGUCAUCUCCCACAAUAGAUGCACCCCAACUGUCAACCGCUCUAGAAUCUGCCAUGGUUAGUACCACACAAAAACAAAAAUAAUAAGUAUAAUGUUUCUAUAGUACUACUUGGAGGUGGCAGAAAAAUUCUCUCAACACUCUAGCAAUUACCAAGCUCUUACCAGAUCUUACCGUGCUGCAGUGGUUGUCGGCCUUUGGCGCCUUCAAAAGUUAUCAAAGUUGGAUAUAGUGAUUGCCAAAUCACCGAACAAGGUACAAUAUAGAAAGUGGAGCUUGGUGAAGGUUUUCUCAACUCACAAUAUCGGUGGCACAAUUUUGCUAAAAGUAAUGCAAGAUGAAUAAUUGCUCAAACUCCUAACUAGUGCUGAUAGUCGACUAGUAAGAGAUAAAAUAAUCUAAGCCCAGAUACUGAAUCAAGCGAGAGGGAACUGACGAAAAUAUAAUAGCUCCAAGUAGCUAGAUAUAAGUGAGGUAUGAACGUAGUGUAUGGCAACCAAGAGCAGACAAAAAAAUCCAACACUUAUCACUUAUAUGAAUAGAGCAGGCUGAACAGCAAAAGAGAUUUUUCAAAAGAUGCUAGCUGGCCAAAACUUUGCAUCAAAUUUUUUUAUUCUUUUUUCUGAAUUUUCCUUUUUCUUCAACUUUCAGGCCGGCCGCUAGUAGAAGUCACGGACACAAAUAUCUGACCAAACAGGUAUGAAGGGGUGGCCGGGGCACAUCUGGUGUAGCCCAUUGGCGCUGUCCAGCGGUAAAAGAUCUCAUGCCAUUGCUGAAAUUCACGUCCCCCACCCAGGGCAUUUUGGUCAUUUUGCAUCUAUGCCCUUUUCCGAUUCGCUGCAUCCUCCCCCAAUGAGUGCCUCCCUCAUUUUUCUAUCCCUCACAUCUCUCUCGGGAGAGAGUCGCUGCCGCUAGUCAUCCUCCCCGUCUGCCGCCGCUGCCGCCAACCAUCCGCAGCCGCGCCACCAUCCCCUCCCCGUUCCUCUCCCGUAGCUGAGCCAGCCAUGGCCAGGAAGAAGUGCAAGUCCUCUUCCUUCCUCCCUCACCCCUGAUCUGAAUCCUCUCCCGGAACCCCAGCCAGCCGCACGCAUCCCAUAUGGCGCCGCCCAGCUCGCAGCCCUCGGCCGCCGAGCCAUCGCGAGGCUCCUCGCGCAAGCGCACGACCUCCUCAAAGGCUGCGCCCGAGGCCGACCUGGAGUUCACCGUCACCAAGGAAAGGUAAGGGGAGGGGAGGGGAUGGAAGGGAUCGAGCGACCAGGUGAGGAAGCGCCCAGAUCCACAGGGCCAUCGACACUUCGUCAUCGACCUCAUCCGCGACCGUCCUCGAGGUCGGCCAUGGUGGUCCGGCCGGCAACAGCCAUGGAAGGAGAGGCCCGAAUCCCUGGCCCUCCAAGUACGCGCCUGCUGCAGGCCAUCUCCGGCGAGCUCAUCCACAGAUCUCCAACUAUGGUGCGUGCGCAUGAUACCUAAACCCCUUGUCUUGUCGGUUUCUUCAUCUUCCCUCCUUGUGAUUCCUUGGUUUGUUUUGUGCGCAGUUGCUCCGAUCUGGAAGAGGUGGUGGAGCUUUUGUUGUUGCUGCUGUAGGUGGACGAGGCACCACCCUCUCUUUCUACUUCUGGACACAACCUGGUGGUGAUUGCAAAUUUCAGUGUUAAAAAAUUCAGUUCAAUUCAGUCAUGUUCUUUUUCUUUUGUGGGGAAAUUCAGUCACAUUCAAUGUUCAACUUUUAGAGUUAACAAACUGUUGUUAUGACCACUAUGGUUUAGAUGUUCAGAAAUUCAGACAAAUGGUAUGAUGAAAUGAGCCACCUUUUAACCCCCUACUAAACCUACCGUGAACGUGAGAGAGCCAAUGCAGGGAGGUGUGGACAUUUUACCAUGUUCAUAGGAAGAAAUCAACAUAAAAUACACAGCUUGUAGAUGAUUCGUCAACCACCAUCAAACACGACUUGUAACUUUCUGGACUAAACUGAACCGUGCAAUUGACUCAAAAUAAAACUAAACCGUGCAAUUGACUCAAAAAUAAAUAGUAAAUAUACUUUGGUUGUGUCUGCAGAAUUGCAUUAUGGAAAGAUGUGUGUGAGGUUACCCCAUCGCCACUGGUUCCAACUUUGUCCAUCAUGUCGCUCUGAUGAGAAGACCUUGUCCAUGUUUCAUUAAUAGGGCAGAGUGCUGCUGAAGUAUCUAUGUUGAACAAUUAUAACAGUACCAAGUAAGUUUGCUCCAAUUGCAUUUGAUGCAGAAGGCACAACACCGCCAUCAUGCGUCAGGUUCAGUAGAAGGCACGACACCGCCACGCUCUCCUCCACUACAAUGCCAUGCACCCGGUAAUUAAACAUGCUUUCUCUUCAUUCNNNNNNNNNNNNNNNNNNNNNNNNNNNNNNNNNNNNNNNNNNNNNNNNNNNNNNNNNNNNNNNNNNNNNNNNNNNNNNNNNNNNNNNNNNNNNNNNNNNNNNNNNNNNNNNNNNNNNNNNNNNNNNNNNNNNNNNNNNNNNNNNNNNNNNNNNNNNNNNNNNNNNNNNNNNNNNNNNNNNNNNNNNNNNNNNNNNNNNNNNNNNNNNNNNNNNNNNNNNNNNNNNNNNNNNNNNNNNNNNNNNNNNNNNNNNNNNNNNNNNNNNNNNNNNNNNNNCAAGAUCUCAAAGAGGUGCCGGCGAACCCAGGCCACACCCAACGCGCUGGGGGGCUGUUGGGGGCGCCAGCGGAAGCAACAGCCAAUCAUAUUCCUCCAUGUAUCAUUUUUUCUGGUCCACUCAUUCACUUUUUGCCUGGCGACUGUCCUGGGGGCACCAACGGCUGGGAAACCGUCCUUGUGUUUCAUUCGGCGAAGGUGUUUUGCCCCCCAGGACGUGCUAUAUUUGGCCCGACGAUUGUCCUGGGGGCUCCAACGGUUGGAGAUGCUCUAAUUCAUUGUAUUUGCAUGUUUCCAGCAGCCAUGUAUCAAAAAAAGCUUCAGCUUUGGGUUGUUGAUUUAGCAGCAUCAAUCAUUAAUUGUUCUGCUAUAUAUGUUCUUAACCAUGACAACCUGAUUAGGCUCUUAGUUUAUUAUGGUCUUUGUUCUGGGUGGAUCUCUGACUAUUCUGGGUGGGCAUGAAUCUCUUCUUUGUUUCUUCAUCUCCUCUUAUUCUGAUUCCUGCAUUUGUUUUAUGUGAAGGUUGCUCCGCUGAGGACAAGCUGCUUCUGCAGGUGGACGGGCCCUCAAGGCUGCUCUGCCUAUUCCUCCUGCUACCCCCACACGUGGUGAGCCCCAUCCGUUCUCGAGCUACCCCUGCAAAUCUGAUGUGAUGUGCACAAAAUACUUGCAAUUGUUCUCGACACAGGAGCAUGUCAUGUAUUGUUCUAUUUGAAUGUGCAAUUUCAUUGCUUCUGUGAUGUUUGAUGCUUGCUUCACAAGAGGGAAAUCAUGGAUAUAAACUGUGCUUCCUUUCAAGUUGAAUAGUAAUGAUCACCAUUUGGUUCCAUUUUCUCCUCUGCAUCCAGUGUUCACUCUCUCAUAGAUGUCCAUAUAUACAUAGUUCUGAUCUCCUUUUUUCUGCGGCUCCAUACAGCAAACACAAAGCCGUCGAUGCAUUGAGGGCUCAAUGUCGUCUCCGCCGGCUGAGCGGCAAGCCGGGGUUGGGCCUGCACACCGUCUAUCAGCACCCUCCCGUGUCUCCAUUCACGGAUCUGCAGGUCAACCCCUCUUCUCCUCCUAUCCACGCAUCUUCUUUUCCAGAGCUAGGUGUAUGGUUGCAUGGCAAUUUGUGUUUAGGGGCUCACCAUGUUCUGCUUGCCCUGGUUGGCCAAUGAGGCUUUCCUUUUCUUGUAAAGGCCAAAUGUACAAUUCUCUAUGCUUUAUAUUUUUGUAGUUCCUUUGUUUCCAUGCUAGUUUUUUGAUGGGGUGUAAAUAUAUGCUUUUUUGUUCCUUGUCUGGAUUCAGGUAGGGCCUAACAUUAUUGUUCCUUUGUGCAUGGAAAUGUUGGUGGUUUUGUUCCUUUGUGUAUGGAAGGGGGCCUUGAUUAGAAUUUUUAACGUUUGAGUUGUAAUUAGUGUUUUUGUUACACAUGAAAACAUAUGGUUGUUUGUCCAAUCACAUAUGAAAAAGAGAUGAUUGUUUGUCCAACAAUUUUCUUUCUCUGUGAUAGUUUUACUAGAAAUAAAGCAUAGUCACUAUUACAUCCUAUUUUAUAUCUUGUUGUGUCGUGAUAUCUAUAUAGACUCUGUCUACGUCCUUUUGACAUUCCAAGUUUUGUUUUUCUAUGGCUCAAUUAGUUACCCCGUAUCAAGAGAAAUUUAACUGGUAUUUGCGGUAGAGUUAGCUGAAUUCAUGAAGCAAUGAUUUAGUUAUUAUUAAAGCUGAAACACAACAUGUUUUGACAAAUGCGUUCUAAGUAAAGCCUCCAACUAACAUAACCAAAAACAUAUUCUUUAGGUUUAUCAUCUAUUGAAGUAUUAUGUAGAAUUUUAAAUCAUACGAGGCAAAGCAAAUGAGCUCUAUGCACUUUCCAUGUAGCACAAAACAAAAAUAAUCAUGUAUAUUUUGGAUGCACCUAGAUAUACUCAUCAGCAAGGCUGAGGUUAUAGGGCAGGGCACUCACCCACAUUGUCGACAUCUCCGUCACUAUGAUCACCCACAUGAUGGACAAUUCCCUUCUUUCUUUUCUCUGUGGCUAUUGACACUUAAUGCUAUUACUGUGUGCAUAUAUGUACUGUGAUCCAUUCUCAUUCUUCAUAUCUUGAGAAACUAUCUCAAGAUACUCGCAUUUGUGUUUUGAAGAAAGCCUAUUCUAUGAUUAAUAUAUCAAGUAUGGAUGGCGCGAUAUCACCUCUCUUUAUGAUGAUGUUCUUACAGAAUAUAGGUUUUAUGGUAACACGUCUUAGCCAACACCUAUACUGAUGCUCAGACCAGAUGAUUAUAGGCUCUCCUUGCUAUUUUUCUUGAGGUGUGUACAUCUAUCUAGACAAUUUAAUUAAAAUAUAUAUUCCAUACAAACCAUCAAUACAUGUUAGUUGACUUUGAAACUAAUCAGUAAAAAGGUUGUCCCUUUCGCAUUUUAUGGACAUAAAGAUUUGGUGUUGACUGUCGAUCUUUAGUUAACACAUGACCUUACAACCGUAGGGAGUGGGAAAAAACUUAUAUGUUUGGCACAUUUGAAGAACAUAUCAUAGUAACGAAGUUUUGGUAAACAAUGUCCUAGAUCUCAACCAUAUAGAAAUACUAAAUAUAUGUUUAUUUGUAUAUGGAUUAAUUAUACAGACUUAUAAAACCUUGUGCAGGGCACAUAAAAGAAAUUUGAAAUAACUAUUAUUUCAAUAUUUGCUUUUUCAGUUGAGCAUAAUAGUUUAUAGCCUGAUAGGCUUGGACAUAAUUGUCUACAUGUACUGCUCAGUAGGCGACAUCCUUUGGGAAAUUGAGGAUGUCCUCGUGCAUUUUCUAAAUACAAUUGGGGCAUAUCUGAGGAAUGAAGGGAGGAAUAAUCUCGUGGGAGAGUUCGGUGCAGAGGAAGAAGAACAAGAUAUUAUUUAUUUCUUGUGUACAGUCAAGCUUGUGCAUUGUCCCACUGUAAGUUAUUUCAACAAUAGUAGUAACUGUUAUCUCUGGCCAUCUGUUGCGACAUUUUCUUUAACCACCAAUGCAUAUUUAUUUUCUUGUUAAUAACUCUCAUAAUUGCCUGCUACUGUUUCAGUUCUGGGGCCAGGCAACCUUGAAUCCAACGUCCACCUGCAGGCUACAUCUCAGGUAGGAUAAAAAGAUUGCAGUGAACUUGAUGGGUAUAUCAUUAUUGUUGCCUCCUAAUUUGUGUGAUGAGCAAAUGUGUAGAUUGUGUGUAAAUCCGAGAUGCCUAAAACGGUUGGGAACUGAACUUGUUACCUCGGUUCACUUUAAUGGCAUGUUAAACUCGAUGCACUUUCUGGACUGUGACAUUUUUCCUGAAAUUUUGGAAGUGACUGCUAAUGUAGUCUAAAUAGAGUGACUGAGUAGUUACUUUCUCACAAGAGUUGACUUCCCGUUAUUGGAGUACUUGCUAAGAUGGAUUGGUGGUUUUUAUGUUAGAUGAAAAAUAUUACAUCAAUCUUUACGGCUUUUUAUGGGCAAGUGAUUCCGACUCCAUAAUAAGGAAUAAUAUAGCCCUAGUGCUGUGAUAAUGUUAAAACAUUUACCUCUUUUAUCGGUUCAUGUUAUGUAUUUGCUGCGAAAAAAUGGUCUUAUAUCAAAUAAUAGCCUAGAGCUUUUGGAGUGUUAUUACUUGUAUUUGUUGCUUGGAUGUAUAAACCUUCAACAGACUGUCAAUUUUGCUUUUAUAUAAUCUGUUUGUUUAAGUCUGCUGCAUAUUGGUCAAAAGCUCAUGCUAAUUGAUGAUGUUAGGUGAUGAUCUUGUAUCUAACAGUGAUUUCUGAAUGCAUGCUAAAGAAAACUCAUGAACAUCAUGGCGCCUUGUUGAUGGGGUGAUCAAUAGCUACUAUAUUGGGACCCUGAACUUAAAUUGUAGGUCUGAUUUUGUUUCGGAGUUCUCCUGCUACCCACAAGCUUAGAUAGUUCUUUUGUUUGUGCAGGGGAAAUUGCAAAGCAUAUUAUGAAUUGUUACAAGAAACUAUUUCUGCUGUUUUGGUGCAAGGACGUUGCUUUUUAGUAUGCUUCCCGUAUCUUGGUAUCUUGGAAUAAUAAACAGAUAGAUGUCGUGUACCAAGAUUGUUCCUUGUUGUUAAGAGGGAUACAAAUAUUAUACAAGAUUUUUUCUGAUGACUCCUAAAGCAUAUUUGGAUAUACAGCAAAGUAUAUUGUCGCUUCCCUGUUAGUAAAACGAUUAUUUUAGAAAUUUGGUUGGCAGCCCCUACAUUUGGCUGAUUGCUAGCUUACUGGAUUACUCAUGUUUGCGGACUCUGGUAACUUAUGCCUACCAAGAACUACAUGAAUUUUGUGUCUUGCUGCAGUGAACAUUACCAAACUAAUUCUAGAGGUGUUAUAAUCAUGUUUUCUUUUGCAUUAUCAACUUUUAACUUUUGUCAUUUGUUAACACAUUCCUUUUGCAUUAUCAACUUUUAACUAUUGUCAUUUGUUAACACGAUUAUUUAGUAUGUUCACUAUGCGAGUACUCCCUCCGUCUGAAAAUACUUGUCAUCAAAAUAGAUAAAAAGGAAUGUAUCUAGAACUAAUAUACAUCUAAAUACAUCCCCUUUUAUUCAUUUCGGUGACAAGUAUUUCCGGACGGAGGGAGUAGUAAUAAUAGGAGCUAUUUAUUUGCCAGAUAACUAACACUAUUCAUAUGGCAUAAGGGUUAGAAAAAGAACUGUAUUCUUGCUGUGUUGAUUUUCGUAUGGCACACUAUGGAUUCUUUGUGUAACACAUAAUGUCGAUCAACAUGUGUUUACAACGCAGGGAGGAGCCGGGCGACAAGGCAGUCAGACCAAACUCUCUUUCCAUAUAUAUAGGUAGUCUGAUGUUAUGCCAUAGCCGAACCAUAUAUGUUUCGUGUACUGCUCUAUCAAUCUGGUCUUUUGGUAUAUUAGACUCUAUCCUUUGUAAUGAACUUAUUGUCAUGGGCGAUCAUUAUGACUGGAUCGUAUGGUAUGAAUCGGGUCUUUAUGCUUUGUGAUGAAAUAUCAUAUUAUCCUGUUCACCAGUUUGGUUUGGUUUUGAGCUAAAACGUAUAAAAAUACAUGGCUUACAACAAUGGAUAUAUGUGAUGAUAUAUUGAGUGAUUAAGCAUAAUUUUAGACUUUCGGUGCUGGACCAAUGGGAUGCAUGGGGUAAUUGAAUGUUUCUUCUUCACUUUUUAUUAUCGGUUGGGAUCAGCACUCUCGCGCGAUCUAGUUAUGAUGAUGCUGCCUAUACAAAGCAAAUCUAUGUGGCUAUAAAGUGGAGCACCAUGGCGAACAAGAAACUGGCGCUUGAGGACAGACAUGAGUGGAACUGAUGUCUGAUGCAACACGGCGUUGCUGUACGCGUCAGGGCAGACAGCAACGACGUGUAACAGAUGGGAUGUCGGAUUGCACGCAAAACAAAGGAAUCCAAUGCAAUUUUGAUAGUUUUUUUUUCAGAUUAUGGACGAGCUUGCGGCGGAAACCAUGGUGGAGAAAAAAAAGUUCGAUCUAGUAGACAAAAAUUUCUCAUACAAAUCUAAACCAGCACUAUUUGUAGGAUGAUGCAACCAAAAAUUCAACUACGCAAGUACUAGAUGCAAAAAUUGCUAACGGCUAAAAAGAUAGGUGCAAAGGAUGAACUAAUCUUUCUUUCUUUUUUGGCUUUUUUUGGGUUAUAGGACAUGAAAAAUAAGCUAAUCUAACAAAACUGUAAAUCUCUCACCGCUGAAAGUGAAAACUGAUACCACUUAUGUGACGGCGGCCCGAUGUUUCGAUGAGAGUGAGGAUAACUAUCAAUUUGAUGGAUUCUGAUCUUGACGCUCCGGCUAUACAAUACCCGACGAUAUGCCUCGACAAUCGCUAAACCAAUCUCCGAUGGUUAUUGACCUUGCCGUAGGCACGGUCAACCUGAACGACGAGGUUUGAGUUCCUGCAAGUAACUAAAGAACCGGCAAGAACAAAGGUGAAUUGCAAUCUGAAAUUGCGAAUGAAAAAUUAAGCACAUGAACUAGAUCAAAAGUUGGAGUUCCACUUUGGAUCUGACAAGGCGGUAGUCCUACACGUCUCAUAGAUGCGAAACUGUAGCAUGGCUAAACAAUACAAUAAAACCCGCGUAAACCCUAGAAUAUGAUGACUAUUUAUUAAAGGCCGGCGUGGAGAAUGCUUCGUCUAUUUUCUUGGAAGUCAAGACGGGCCUGCUAAUUGGCCGGACACACACGCGAUCUGAUUUGAAAAUAAACUUCUCAUAUCAAUCUGGUGGCAAACUGCCUCAUCGGUACUAUAGGCCCAGAUGCGCAACACACAAGGCCAUGCAUGGGCGCAAAACCUAUACGACGCCCUCAGCGUCCGAUACCAUGUUAACGGUACAGGGCACAGAACGUCGUGAGACAGUUCGGUCCAUAUCCGGUGUGGGCAUUAGAGCAUUGAGAGGACCUUUCCCUAGUACGAGAGGACUGGGAAGGACGCACUUCUGGUGUAUCAGUACACCCCCUUGUCACGAUGGGCCGGCCCACAUUCCUUUUUUUCUAUAUUAAAGACGCCGAAAAAACUGAAUGUAAGCACCAUGAUUCAAACCGGCAAUCGACUGGUUCAACACACACCACCUAACCAAUAGGCUACAUGUUGUUGACGUGGUUAGUUAUAGCUUUUCCUUCUUUUCUUCUUUGUACCUUCUUUUUUGUUUUUUUGUUCGAACGGUUUUGUUAGUUUUUAUUAUUUUCCAUCUUAAUUUUUUUCAAUAAUACAACAUUUUUCGUUUCAAUUUCGUGAACUUUUUUAAAAUUCGAUAUUUUUUUUCAAAAUUCAAUGAACUUAUUUUCAAAUUCGAUGAACUUUUUACAAAUUGGAUGAACUUUUUUCAAAUUUGAUGAACCUUUUUUUAAACUCGAUGUUUGUUUUCAAAUUUGCCAACUUUUUUGAAAAUUCAUGUACAAUUAUGAAUUCAUGAAUUUUUUGAUAUUUUUUUAAUUUUGCAAAUUUCCCCUUUUUAGUUUUUUUAAAUAGCAAUGGUUUUUUCGACAAGUGCUUGCAAGAGAAAAAAGGCUAGCAAAGGAGCGAGCAGCGACCGAUUGAGCCAGCAGCAGCGGUCGAGCGAGUAGUCGAGCGAUUAGCAAUCGAGCGAGCAGCGAUCGAGCGAGCCAGCAGCAGCGGCCGAGCGAGCAGUUGAGCGAUUAGCGAUCGAGCGAACAAAUGCAUGUUGAUUCAAUAAUGCUCAAGUGUAAAUAUUCUGUAUUAAACUUCGCAUCUUCACCCGAGGUUUGUGCAUCUCUUCUUUAAUCCUGCAUAUAAAAUAUUGUGUUGUAUUUUUGUUUCGGAUAACAAAAUAAUAAUUCAUAUAAUUUCUAUUAGAAUUCACCUGAUAAUUAUCUUUACGCGCAAUAAUUGUGGUUAUAUCCGUACGGGUCAUGUUUAUAUCAGGUAGUUAAUCUUCUUUUUCUUAUCCGCAAGACACUUCUUCACAUGCUCAUCCAAGAGGGUUUCGGCUGCCAACAUGAUCAUCGCAUCCACCACGUCCUGUGAGAUUCGCAACCUCUCCUUCUCAAGCUCUAUGUCGCCAAAUGUCUUGGCCUUCUCGAGUUCCCAUUUGAUCGCCACCCCUUGGUGGUCCACCAUGUCCGAACCUCCUUGCGCCGCCGCCGCCUCCCUCUCUCGCUGCAGGCGUUGCCGCAACUUCUGGGCGGCGUCCUCCGCCUUGCAAGUCAGAGCCGACGAAGGGACGCCGACGGACAAGGCGGACGGCGUCUUUGUCGCGGUGGUGGAUCGGGACCGGUGGUGAGGAUUGGGAGCAAGGGUGGAGGACGGCGAGGGUUCGGGCGCGGGAAAAGUUGGAGGGCGGCGGGAGGAGGAGAAAGGGUUUGGUGCAUUUGGCACAAUUUUCAAUGGGGUCGGGCUGACGGGUCCGACGUGGCGGGCGCGCCCGGGCGCCCCAUAUUUGGGCUAGAUAUGAGGGGUGCCGGUCAGCCCAGGCGUUCGAGGCCCGUUUAAGGAGCCCGUCUGGAUCGAAAAAUCGUGACCGGGUGGCCCACCCGGGUGUAUGAGCCAGGCUUGAGGUGCCCGACUGUAGAUGCUCUAAUCAUCUAGAUCUGACGCUCAAAGGCUCCACCCUCCCCCACGACUUGGGUUCGAGCGCCUCCCCAAAACUUCGUCGGGAUCCGCCACAACCGGCAACGGCGAGGCCAGAGGUGGCCGGAUCCGGCACAGGUUGGUCUCUCCCCUCCUUCUUCGCCCACCCUCUCCUCCUUACCUCACGCCACUUGUCUUCCCUUUUUUGCAGGUCGCCAUGGCGCGGACGGCGAUGACGGCAGGAGGGGCACACACAUCCGUGGAAUGGGACGCCGCCAUGGAGAUGGAGAUCCUUCUUCACACCACGCAGAGGCCCCAUGGAGCCUCCCUCCUUCUUCGGUGACUUCUUCUCAGGCCCCACCACUACCUCUGCCCUCCCCCCUCCUCUACUUUGAGUUGCACCAUGCUUUGUUUCAGAUUCAUCCACCCAUGGGUGAUACAUGGGAAGUUAGGGGUUGCUGCAGUUUGAGGUUAAUCCCUUGAUUGGCUGUUGUUUCGGGUUGAUUAGAUUAGUUAGCUCAGUUGGCUGCUAGACUUUAGGAGUGCAUACAUGGGUAUAACAUGCUCUGCACAUUUAGGAUUGAAGUAUUGUGUUGCAGCACUCAGUGACGUUAAUUUAGGGCAUUUCAGUGUCAGUUCCACUAUAUUUCGGGGGACAUUUAACAGUGCAAUUUCAUGGUUAUUACAGUGUAAUUUCAAGGUUCUUGCAUUCUAAGUUCAGAGAAUUACAAUGUUAGUUUAUGUGAAUUCCCGUGCAUUUUACUGUGUAAUUUAAGUGCAAUGGAAAUUAUAGUGUAAAUUCAGUGUAAUUUACUAUGUAAAUUUACGGAAAUUACACUGUAAUUCGUGUGCAACUUUUAGUGUAAUUUACACUAUAAUUUCAACGGGUUUACAGUAGAGUAAUUUAAGUGUAAUUACAGUGUGCACUUUAGAGCAAUCAUACUAUAUAUUUAGUGAAUUUAAAGUAUCACUCCAUACCUUUCGGGUUUGUCUUUUUUCUCUACAAGUUACUGCUAUACUGUUGAUUGAUUCUACCCUUGCGAAAGAAACUUUGAUGAGCACAUAAUUUUCUACUAUGUAAUUUGAGCAGCUUGGUAACCGUAAUUUUCAGUUUCCUUUGACCCUAGGCCCUUGUGCUUUAGAAUUGCUAUUUUUUGUCAGUGUACAUGCUAGAUCAUGUGGUUUAUGAUACUUCUCUGGUCCUUAUAAACAAAGUGACAUGUUUGUACUGUGGAAUAGAAAGAAUAUUUCAGUGUCUCUCUUUAGGCCUUUUGUCGAAUUGUUAUGUGGUCCAGUGCAGCCUUACGAAACCGGGUUCUAUGCAGUUCAUGUACAGUGCAAAACUCAUUAUUGCAGGUCAGGCCUGUAGCAUGUCUUGGGUCAUUGACAUGCAGGAAAGAAGGAAAAAGGACAUAGAAGUAUCAUUUUGUUAUUGGUCAAGAAAAUUUGAAUAAUGUCCAACUGAUUUCAGUUGAAUGACAAAUAGACAAUCCCUUGUUUAAUCAGUAGAUAUACACCAUUAACUCAAAUAGCAAAGAAAUACUAGUCCAUUUAUAAUCGAUGAUUGCGCAUGAUGCAUCCAUCCAUUCUAUCGGAGAGGCUGUGUUUUUUUUCUUCUUGUGCUAAGGUUGAUAGCAUCACAUAUCUUAUGCUUUUGUUUCUCAAGUAGAGCCUUGAGAUAGAUGUGUCUGCAACCGUCCUCGAAUGGUUGUGCAAUAAUAAUGGUCCUAGCUAAUUACUAGUAUGCACUGCUUAUAAAACAACUUGUUGCUCGUUUCACUUUGAGUAUGCUGUUGCUGCUAAAGUAGCAACAACAACAGCCAUGCUUUGGUUCCCCAAAAUUCAGAUGGCACUGGCAUCUCUACAUACACACACAUAUAUGAAUAUGCACCUCAGUUUGGUUCAGUUUGCAUGUGUACCGUUGCUUUAACUUUGACUGAAACUAUCUUGGUGGCACUUGCAUCAAUGUUGUGCUCUGCCCUUGUAUAUGUCCUUGGAGAAGAUGACCAUUGGACUGUAGGGGACGAACAACCUUGUCCUGCUCGAGGAGGAGGAGGAUGGCCACCCUGAGCUCGAGGACGACACGACAACAGGAGCACUCACCUCCCUACUAAGGUGAAGGUCCGAUCCGCCUGUUUAGAUGGUCUGCUCUUGUCUUGUGAUCUGAGGGGAGAAGAAAGCCAUUGGCCUCAAUUAUAUUUGCAUGUGAGGGGAGCGAUCCUUUUGGUAGAUGCAGAGUAUAGAUUACAUAUUCCACAAAACUCACCACACGAGUAUACUAACUAUAUCCACAAAAUUCACCACACGAGCAUACUACCUAUGUCCAAAUGUGGGUUUGAUACUUUCGACAUGAAACAUGAAUAUCAGGUUGGGAGUUUGGAGUUUAAUCAAAUAACGCAGCAAGGCGAUCAUCGGUAGGGAUGCACCUUUGAGGCGGCAAGGAGGGCUUCUCAAAGGCAGUACACAUGGCUUAUUACUGCUUGUAUGUGAGUACGCAGAUGUGGCGUCUAUGGAUAGAGGGUUAGGGGCGCAACGCAAGCGGCAGUAGGGGAUACACAACCUGAUUUGAUUUGGUCAAUCACGGGAAAUGGGAGAAGGCCUAGGGUGCAAAGUUUAGAUCGGUGGGUUGGUAGCGUUAGGCAUAAUAGAGAUCAAACCUUUUUCAUAGGCGUAUGUAGGUUAUUUCCUUGAAGCAUUUUAUCAAAAUGGUGUAGGCGGGUAAUAUCUCUCAACUUAAAUGUGAAGGGGAUAUAUUAUUUCCUUGUAGAGGCCGAGGAAUACAUGGCGUACCGCUACAUAUGCAACCAUGAUUUUUUGUGGAUGGUUACGAGAGAACCUGAAAGAUACCAUGGACCGAAGCAUGGGCACAUGAAGUUCCUGUUGGGGAACGUAGUAAUUUCAAAAAAAUUCCUACGCACACGCAAGAUCAUGGUGAUGCAUAGCAACGAGAGGAGAGAGUAUGAUCUACGUACCCUUGUAGAUCGACAACGGAAGCGUUAACUUGGUUGAUGUAGUCGUACGUCUUCACGGCCCGGCCGAUCAAGCACCGAAACUACGGCACCUCCGAGAUCUAGCACACAUUCAGCUCGAUGACGAUCCCCGGACUCCGAUCCAGCAAAGUGUCGGGGAAGAGUUCCGUCAGCACGACGGCGUGGUGACGAUAUUGAUGUACUACCGUCGCAGGGCUUCGCCUAAGCACCGCUACAAUAUUAUCGAGGACUAUGGUGGAAGGGGGCACCGCACACGGCUAAGAAUAUGAUCACAUGGAUCAACUUGUGUCUCUAGGGGUGCUCCCUGCCUCCGUAUAUAAAGGCUCAAAGGGGGAGGGGUGGCCGGCCAAGAGGAGGCGCGCCAGGAGGAGUCCUACUCCCUCCAGGAGUAGGACUCCCCCCCUUUCCUAAUUGGAAUAGGAUUCGCGGAGGGGGGAAAGAGGAGAGAGAGGAGGAAGGGGGGGGCGACCCCCUCUCCUUGUCCUAUUUGGACCAAAGGGGGGAGGGGCGCGCGGCCCAUAUCUGGCCACCUCUCCUCUCUUCCACUAAGGCCCACUAAGGCCCAUAUACCUCCCGGGGGGUUCCGGUAACCUCCCGGUAAUCCGGUAAAAUCCCGAUUUCACCCGGAACACUUCCGAUAUCCAAAUAUAGGCUUCCAACAUAUCAAUCUUUAUGUCUCGACCAUUUCGAGACUCCUCGUCAUGUCCGUGAUCACAUCCGGGGCUCCGAACAAACUUCGGUACAUCAAAAUGCAUAAACUCAUAAUAUAACUGUCAUCGAAACCUUAAGCGUGCCGACCCUACGGGUUCGAGAACAAUGUAGACAUGACCGAGACACGUCUCCGGUCAAUAACCAAUAGCGGCACCUGGAUGCUCAUAUUGGAUCCUACAUAUUCUACGAAGAUCUUUUAUCGGUCAGACCGCAUAACAACAUACGUUGUUCCCUUUGUCAUCGGUAUGUUACUUGCCCGAGAUUCGAUCAUCGGUAUCCAAUACCUAGUUCAAUCUCGUUACCGGCAAGUCUCUUUACUCGUUCCGUAAUCCAUCAUCCCGCAACUAACUCAUUAGUCGCAAUGCUUGUAAGGCUUAUGUGAUGUGCAUUACCGAGAGGACCCAGAGAUACCUCUCCGACAAUCGGAGUGACAAAUCCUAAUCUCGAAAUACGCCAACCCAACAUGUACCUUUGGAGACACCUGUAGAGCUCCUUUAUAAUCACCCAGUUACGUUGUGACGUUUGGUAGCAUAAAAAGUGUUCCUCCGGCAAACGGGGGUUGCAUAAUCUCAUAGUCAUAGGAACAUGUAUAAGUCAUGAAGAAAGCAAUAGCAACAUACUAAACGAUCGGGUGCUAAGCUAAAGGAAUGGGUGAUGUCAAUCAGAUCAUUCAUCUAAUGAUGUGAUCCUGUUAAUCAAAUGACAACUCUUUGUCCGUGUUUAGGAAACAUAACCAUCUUUGAUUAACAAGCUAGUCUAGUAGAGGCAUACUAGUGACACUCUGUUUGUCUAUGUAUUCACGCAUGUAUUAUGUUUCCGGUUAAUACAAUUCUAGCAUGAAUAAUAAACUUUUAUCAUGAUAUAUAAGGAAAUAAAUAAUAACUUUAUUAUUGCCUCUAGGGCAUAUUUCCUUCAGUCUCCCACUUGCACUAGAGUCAAUAAUCUAGAUUACACAGUAAUGAUUCUAACACCCAUGGAGCCUUGGUGCUGAUCAUGUUUUGCUCGUGGAAGAGGCUUAGUCAACGGGUCUUCUACAUUCAGAUCCGUAUGUAUCUUGCAAAUCUCUAUGUCUCCCACCUGGACUAGAUCCCGGAUGGAAUUGAAGCGUCUCUUGAUGUGCUUGGUUCUCUUGUGAAAUCUGGAUUCCUUUGCCAAGGCAAUUGCACCAGUAUUGUCACAAAAGAUUUUCAUUGGACCCGAUGCACUAGGUAUGACACCUAGAUCGGAUAUGAACUCCUUCAUCCAGACUCCUUCAUUCGCUGCUUCCGAAGCAGCUAUGUAUUCCGCUUCACAUGUAGAUCCCGCCACGACGCUCUGUUUAGAACUGCACCAACUGACAGCUCCACCAUUUAAUGUAAACACGUAUCCGGUUUGCGAUUUAGAAUCAUCCGGAUUAGUGUCAAAGCUUGCAUCAACGUAACCAUUUACGAUGAGCUCUUUGUCACCUCCAUAUACAAGAAACAUAUCCUUAGUCCUUUUCAGGUACUUCAGGAUGUUCUUGACCGCUGUCCAGUGAUCCACUCCUAGAUUACUUUGGUACCUCCCUGCUAGACUUAUAGCAAUGCACACAUCAGGUCUGGUACACAGCAUUGCAUACAUGAUAGAGCCUAUGGCUGAAGCAUAGGGAACAUCUUUCAUUUUCUCUCUAUCUUCUGCAGUGGUCGGCCAUUGAGUCUGACUCAACUUCACACCUUGUAACACAGGCAAGAACCCUUUCUUUGCUUGAUCCAUUUUGAACUUCUUCAAAAUUUUGUCAAGGUAUGUGCUUUGUGAAAGUCCAAUUAAGCGUCUUGAUCUAUCUCUAUAGAUCUUUAUGCCUAAUAUGUAAGCAGCUUCACCAAGGUCUUUCAUUGAAAAACUCUUAUUCGAGUAUCCCUUUAUGCUAUCCAGAAAUUAUAUAUCAUUUCCAAUCAGUAAUAUGUCAUCCACAUAUAAUAUCAUAAAUGCUACAGAGCUCCCACUAACUUUCUUGUAAAUACAGGCUUCUCCAAAGGUCUGUAUAAAACCAAAUGCUUUGAUCACACUAUCAAAGCGUUUAUUCCAACUCCGAGAGGCUUGCACCAGUCCAUAAAUGGAUCACUGGAGCUUGCACAGUUUGUUAGCUCCCUUUGGAUCGACAAAACCUUCCGGUUGCAUCAUAUAAAACUCUUCUUCCAGAAAUCCAUUCAGGAAUGCAGUUUUGACAUCCAUCUGCCAAAUUUCAUAAUCAUAAAAUGCGGCAAUUGCUAACAUGAUUCGGACAGACUUAAGCAUCGCUACGGGUGAGAAGGUCUCAUCGUAGUCAACCCCUUGAACUUGUCGAAAACCUUUUGCGACAAGUCAAGCUUUGUAGACAGUAAUAUUACCGUCAGCGUCAGUCUUCUUCUUGAAGAUCCAUUUAUUCUCAAUUGCUUGCCGAUCAUCGGGCAAGUCAACCAAAGUCCAUACUUUGUUCUCAUACAUGGAUCCCAUCUCAGAUUUCAUGGCUUCAAGCCAUUUUUCGGAAUCUGGGCUCACCAUCGCUUCUUCAUAGUUCGUAGGUUCAUCAUGAUCUAGUAGCAUGACUUCCAGAACAGGAUUACCGUACCACUCUGGCGCGGAUCUUACUCUGGUUGAUCUACGAGGUUCAGUAGUAUCUUGUUCUGAAGUUUCAUGAUCAUUAUCAUUAGCUUCCUCACUAAUUGGUGUAGGUGUCGCAAAAACAGGUUUCUGUUAUGUGCUACUUUCCAAUAAGGGAGCAGGUACAGUUACCUCGUCAAGUUCUACUUUCCUCCCACUCACUUCUUUCGAGAGAAACUCCUUCUCUAGAAAGGAUCCAUUCUUAGCAACGAAUGUCUUGCCUUCGGAUCUGUGAUAGAAGGUGUACCCAACAGUCUCCUUUGGGUAUCCUAUGAAUACACAUUUCUCCGAUUUCGGUUCGAGCUUAUCAGGUUGAAGCUUUUUCACAUAAGCAUCGCAGCCCCAAACUUUAAGAAACGACAACUUUGGUUUCUUGCCAAACCAUAGUUCAUAAGGUGUCAUCUCAACGGAUUUUGAUGGCGCCCUGUUUAACGUGAAUGCGGCUGUCUCUAAAGCAUAACCCCAAAAUGAUAGCGGUAAAUUUGUAAGAGACAUCAUAGAUCGCACCAUAUCAAGUAAAGUACGAUUACGACAUUCGGACACACCAUUACGCUGAGGUGUUCCGGGUGGCGUGAGUUGCAAAACUAUUCCGCAUUGUUUCAGAUGUAGACCAAACUCGUAACUCAAAUAUUCUCCUCCACGAUCAGAUCGCAGAAACUUUAUUUUCUUGUUACGAUGAUUUUCAACUUCACUCUGAAAUUCUUUGAACUUUUCAAAUGUUUCAGACUUAUGCUUCAUUAAGUAGAUAUACCCAUAUCUGCUUAAAUCAUCUGUGAAGGUGAGAAAAUAACGAUAUCCGCCACGAGCCUCAACAUUCAUCGGACCACAUACAUCUGUAUGUAUGAUUUCCAACAAAUCUGUUGCUCUCUCCAUUGUAUCGGAGAAUGGUGUUUUAGUCAUCUUGCCCAUGAGGCACGGUUCGCAGGUACCAAGUGAUUCAUAAUCAAGAGGUUCCAAAAGUCCAUCUGUAUGGAGUUUCUUCAUGCGCUUUACACCGAUAUGACCUAAACGGCAGUGCCACAAAUGAGUUGCCCUAUCAUUAUCAACUCUGCAUCUUUUGGCUUCAACAUUAUGAAUAUGUGUGUUACUACUAUCGAGAUUCAUCAAAAAUAGACCACUCUUCAAAGGUGCAUGACCAUAAAAGAUAUCACUCAUAUAAAUAGAACAACCAUUAUUCUCUAAUUUAAAUGAAUAACCGUCUCGCAUUAAACAAGAUCCAGAUAUAAUGUUCAUGCUCAAUGCUGGCACCAAAUAACAAUUAUUUAGGUCUAAUACUAAUCCCGAAGGUAGAUGUAGAGGUAGCGUGCCGACCGCGAUCACAUUGACUUUAGAACCAUUUCCCACGCGCAUCGUCACCUCGUCCUUUGCCAGUGUUCGCUUAAUCCGUAGUCCCUGUUUCAAGUUGCAAAUAUUAGCAACAGAACCAGUAUCAAAUACCCAGGUGCUACUGCGAGCUCUAGUAAGGUACACAUCAAUAACAUGUAUAUCACUUAUACCUUUGUUCACCUUGCCAUCCUUCUUAUCCGCCAAAUACUUGGGGCAGUUCCGCUUCUAGUGACCAGUCUGCUUGCAUUAGAAGCACUCAAUUUCAGGCUUAGGUCCAGACUUGGGUUUCUUCUCCUGAUCAACAACUUGCUUGCUUUUCUUCUUGAAGUUCCCCUUCUUCUUCCCUUUGCCCUUUUUCUUGAAACUAGUGGUCUUGUUGACCAUCAACACUUGAUGCUCCUUCUUGAUUUCUACCUCCGCAGCUUUUAGCAUUGCGAAGAGCUCGGGAAUAGUCUUAUUCAUCCCUUGCAUAUUAUAGUUCAUCACAAAGCUCUUGUAGCUUGGUGGCAGUGAUUGGAGAAUUCUGUCAAUGACGCAAUCAUCUGGAAGAUUAACUCCCAUCUGAAUCAAGUGAUUAUUAUACCCAGACAUUUUGAGUAUAUGCUCACUGACAGAACUGUUCUCCUCCAUCUUGCAGCUAUAGAACUUAUUGGAGACUUCAUAUCUCUCAAUCCAGGCAUUUGCUUGAAAUAUUAACUUCAACUCCUGGAACAUCUCAUAUGCUCCAUGACGUUCAAAGCGUCGUUGAAGUCUCUAAGCCGUAAAGCAUGGCACACUGAACUAUCGAGUAGUCAUCAGCUUUGCUCUGCCAGACGUUCAUAACAUCUGGUGUUGCUCCAGCAGCAGGCCUGGCACCCAGCGGUGCUUCCAGGACGUAAUUCUUCUAUGCAGCAAUGAGGAUAAUCCUCAAGUUACGGACCCAGUCCGUGUAAUUGCUACCAUCGUCUUUCAACUUUGCUUUCUCAAGGAACGCAUUAAAAUUUAACGGAACAACAGCACGGGCCAUUUAUCUACAAUUAACAUAAACAAGCAAGAUACUAUCAGGAACUAAGUUCAUGAUAAAUUUAAGUUCAAUUAAUCAUAUUACUCAAGAACUCCCACUUAGAUAGACAUCCCUCUAAUCAUCUAAACCAUAACCGAUCAUCACGUGAAAUGGAGUAGUUUUCAGUGGUGAACAUCGCUAUGUUGAUCAUAUCUACUAUAUGAUUCACGCACGAUCUUUCGAUCUCAGUGUUCCGAGGCCAUAUCUGCAUAUGCUAGGCUCGUCAAGUUUAACCUGAGUAUUCUGCGUGUGCAAAACUGGCUUGCACCCGUUGUAGAUGGACGUAGAGCUUAUCACACCCGAUCAUCACGUGGUGUCUGGGCACAACAAACUUUGGCAACGGUGCAUACUCGGGGAGAACACUUUUAUCUUGAAAUUUAGUGAGAGAUCAUCUUAUAAUGCUACCGUCAAUCAAAGCAAGAUAAGAUGCAUAAAAGAUAAACAUCACAUGCAAUCAAUAUAAGUGAUAUGAUAUGGCCAUCAUCAUCUUGUGCUUGUGAUCUCCAUCCUCGAAGCACCAUCGUGAACACCAUUGUCACCAGCGCGACACCUUGAUCUCCAUCAUAGCAUCAUUGUCAUCUUGCCAAUCUUAUGCUUCUACGACUAUCGCUACCGCUUAGUGAUAAAGUAAAGCAUUACAGGGCGAUUGCGUUGCAUACAAUAAAGCGACAACCAUAUGGCUCCUGCCAGUUGCCGAUAACUCGGUUACAAAACAUGAUCAUCUCAUACAAUAAAAUUUAGCAUCAUGUCUUGACCAUAUCACAUCACAACAUGCCCUGCAAAAACAAGUUAGACGUCCUCUACUUUGUUGUUGCAAGUUUUACGUUGCUGCUGCGGGCUUAAGCAAGAACCAAUCUUACCUACGCAUCAAAACCACAAUGAUAGUUUGUCAAGUUGGUGCUGUUUUAACCUUCGCAAGGACCGGGCGUAGCCACACUCGGUUCAACUAAAGUUGGAGAAACUGCCACCCGCAAGCCACCUAUGUGCAAAGCACGUCGGGAGAACCGGUCUCGCGUAAGCGUACGCGUAAUGUCGGUCUGGGCCGCUUCGUCCAGCAAUACCGCCGAACCAAAGUAUGACAUGUUGGUAAGCAGUAUGACUUAUAUCGCCCACAACUCACUUGUGUUCUACUCGUGCAUAUAACAUCAACAUAUAAAACCUAGGCUCGGAUGCCACUGUUGGGGAACGUAGUAAUUUCAAAAAAAUUCCUACGCACACGCAAGAUCAUGGUGAUGCAUAGCAACGAGAGGGGAGAGUAUGAUCUACGUACCCUUGUAGAUCGACAACGAAAGCGUUAACUUCGUUGAUGUAGUCGUACGUCUUCACGGCCCGACCGAUCAAGCACUGAAACUACGGCACCUCCUAGUUCUAGCACACAUUCAGCUUGAUGAUGAUCCCCGGACUCCGAUCCAGCAAAGUGUCGGGGAAGAGUUCCGUCAGCACGACGGCGUGGUGACGAUCUUGAUGUACUACCGUCGCAGGGCUUCGCCUAAGCACCACUACAAUAUUAUCGAGGACUAUGGUGGAAGGGGGCACCGCACACGGCUAAGAAUAUGAUCACGUGGAUCAACUUGUGUCUCUAGGGGUGCUCCCUGCCUCCGUAUAUAAAGGCUCAAAGAGGGGGGCGGCCGGCCAAGAGGAGGCGCGCCAGGAGGAGUCCUACUCCCUCCGGGAGUAGGACUCCCCCCUUUCCUAAUUGGAAUAGGAUUCGCGGAGGGGGGAAAGAGGAGAGAGAGGAGGAAGGGGGGCCGGCCCCCUCUCCUUGUCCUAUUCGGACCACAGGGGGGAGGGGCGCGCGACCCAUCUCUGGCCACCUCUCCUCUCUUCCACUAAGGCCCACUAAGGCCCAUAUACCUCCCGGGGGGUUCCGGUAACCUCCCGGUAAUCCGGUAAAAUCCCUAUUUCACCCGGAACACUUCCGAUAUCCAAAUAUAGGCUUCCAACAUAUCAAUCUUUAUGUCUCGACCAUUUCGAGACUCCUCGUCAUGUCCGUGAUCACAUCUGGGACUCCGAACAAACUUCGGUACAUCAAAAUGCAUAAACUCAUAAUAUAACUGUCAUCGAAACCUUAAGCGUGCGGACCCUACGGGUUCGAGAACAAUGUAGACAUGAACGAGACACGUCUCCGGUCAAUAACCAAUAGCGGAACCUGGAUGCUCAUAUUGGCUCCUACAUAUUCUACGAAGAUCUUUUAUCAGUCAGACUGCAUAAGAACAUACGUUGUUCCCUUUGUCAUCGGUAUGUUACUUGCCCGAGAUUCGAUCGUCGGUAUCCAAUACCUAGUUCAAUCUCGUUACCGGCAAGUCUCUUUACUCGUUCCGUAAUCCAUCAUCCCGCAACUAACUCAUUAGUCGCAAUGCUUGCAAGGAUUAUGUGAUGUGCAUUACCGAGAGGGCCCAGAGAUACCUCUCCGACAAUCGGAGUGACAAAUCCUAAUCUCGAAAUAUGCCAACCCAACAUGUACCUUUGGAGACACCUAUAGAGCUCCUUUAUAAUCACCCAGUUACGUUGUGGCGCUUGGUAACACACAAAGUGUUCCUCCGGCAAACUGGAGUUGCAUAAUCUCAUAGUCAUAGGAACAUGUAUAAGUCAUGAAGAAAGCAAUAGCAACAUACUAAACGAUCGGGUGCUAAGCUAAUGGAAUGAGUCAUGUCAAUCAGAUCAUUCAUCUAAAGAUGUGAUCCUGUUAAUCAAAUGACAACUCUUUGUCCAUGGUUAGGAAACAUAACCAUCUUUGAUUAACAAGCUAGUCUAGUAGAGGCAUACUAGUGACAAUCUGUUUGUCUAUGUAUUCACACAUGUAUUAUGUUUCCGGUUAAUACAAUUCUAGCAUGAAUAAUAAACUUUUAUCAUGAUAUAUAAGGAAAUAAAUAAUAACUUUAUUAUUGCCUCUAGGGCAUAUUUCCUUCAGUUCCAACACCGAAGGGUAAGGAGACGGGCCCGCGUCAUUUACGUCCGGAAUAUGCGACCUUGAUUCUUUGUCGAUGGUGAUGCCAAGACUAUAGGAUAAGGUGGAUCCGGACACAUGAGCAGAUGAAGUGCCUGACACGAAGUUGGUUAAGGAGCUGGACCCAAGUCAUCUACACCGCAAAUUGGUCGAAGGUGUGCCGUGAAUGAUAGAUGUACUUGAGGGGGGAGAAAGCCUGUGAAAAGAACAUACGGUUGCUCGAUGAUGACACAUGUCUUGAGAGGAUGGCGAGAACCCUAGAUAUGGUUAAGGCACGCCACGAGAACAUCACCCCGGUCGCGAGAUUCUCAGUGGUGUGCGGCAACCGAAGCCAAAAGGGCACCCCCGCAAGACCUUGAAAUGCCAGAGCGGUGGGCGCACAAGCAAUGGUGAGGAAAAUCACAUAAGGUACCAAGCAAGGCCAUCCUGAUCAGGGCUCCAUUGCCAAGCUUAUGUCCACCACUGCGAUUCAGACAAACUUUCAACUGGCGUCUCUGUCUUCUCAAGAUUUCCAUGGUCCCAUCAGGAUGUAUAUAUGUACUUUGUUUAUUUUGAAAAUUAAUAUAUCACCAAAGAAAUUGUAGUACUUGUCAUUCUUUUAAUUACUUAGUAGUUUGCAUGAUAGACUCAAUCUUAUAUUUACUAAUUAGAGGCACCAAAUAAGCGACCACGUUAAUCCUCAAAAACUAAGAAUAUUAUCCAUCCGAUCUCCAUAUUAAGUAUCUGUAGCCGUCCAUUGGACAACUCAAGAGUCCUGGGUUACUAUCCCACGUCAUGCUCCAUGUAAUGUGAAAAAAAAAUCAUCUCCUUGGCCAAAUCCAUCCCACGUCAUGCUCCAUGUAAUGUGAAAAAAAGCAUCUCCCUGGCCAAAUUCUUCCUCCCCUGAUCUAUCAUGUGAGGCACUUGCGCAUCAUCCACAAAUCCCUAGCGCAAAUCCAUCCCACGUCAUGCUCCAUGUAAUGUGAAAAAAAUCAUCUCCCUGGCCAAAUUCUUCCUCCCCCGAUCUAUCAUGUGAGGCACUUGCGCAUCAUCCACAAAUCCCUAGCGCUGCUCUUCCAGGUCGUCCUCCUCCUUCCUAUCUUUUGUUGUCUUAAUGCAAAACGAUUCCGUGAGAUCCUUGUGAUCCUCUUCAUCUUCACGUAGAAAUCUGAACUGUCCCAACCACGCUGCAGAUCUGUGGUCCGUCUUGGACAAAGAGAAGGCCCUUUCAAUCUCCACAGAUGCCAUGCCCCAACCAAACCGCAACCCAUGAUAAACGAUGUUGUUGAGAAGGAGGCGCUACCUAAGUCUGAUCGGACAUAUGCCAUUGUUAGGGAAGCUACAAGUCGAAGAACUAUGGUAGACUGAUUGCGAGUAAUUAAGGAGCUAUCAACGAUCCAGUAGGUUUUUGUUAUUAGGAAUUUUUAUGUAGUGCGACUUGAUCUCAAAGAACAAGUACACCAUUAGAGUUCGUUUUGGAGGAUUUUGAUGAUGUGCGCUUAGUUACAGACUUAUCUAAAUACGUAUAACUAGGAUGGACAAUAUUUGUAGGAGCCAUACAAUCCAAUUAGGGGAUUUAGUUUGUCAAAGAUGUUUCCACAUAUCCCUAGCGCUGCUCUUCUAGGUUGCCCCCUGCUUCCUAUCUACGGUCUUCAAGUAAAGCGAUUUAAUGAGUCUCUUGCUGCAGAAAUUUCAACUGCCACAAGAAGGCUGCAGACCUGCGGUUCAUCUUGGCUGAGGUGUCAUACAAUCCAGUUAAGGGAUUCCAUUCAUUGAAGAUGUGGCUGUACUUUCGCACAACAAACUCAAGCACAUCUUCUUAUGUUCUUAGAAACUAGAUGAGUUGUUUUGGACUUUCUUUGGUCUACUCCUCUAUGCUUCUUAUUGGGAAAGUUAGUAUGCAAAAGUUAUGCCCAUCUUCUUAAAUUCGGAUGUAACUUUUCGAGUAGAUGAUUUUUCAUAUAAAAAACUUUUUCAUCCGAGUUAGUAUGCAAAAGUUAUGCCCAUUUUUACAAAUUUCAGAGAGAUUUUGCAAAUAAAGUGAAAAUUCAGAUUUGCAAAUUUUCCCAACAAGUAGACCACAUAUCACAUGGGAAACUUAUUUUCUUUUAUUUUUUUUGACAUUUCCAUCAUUUUCUUUUAUUUUUUUAAAACUGAAAAGGCGAUCCACAUGGGGGGGGGUAGAGUUUGAAAAUGGGACCUUUAGUACUGGUUCGUGGCACGAACCGGGACUAAAGGUCUCAACCCCAUUAGUCCCGGUUCAUGCCUCAAACCGGGACUAAAGGUCUAAUCGUUAGUCCCGGUUUGAGGCACGAACCGGGACCAAUGGUUUUGUGCCAGGAGCGAGGCCCAUUGGUCCCGGUUCAUCCCACCAACCGGGACCAAAAGGUCCAGAUGAACCGGGACCAAUGGCCCACGUGGCCCGGCCGGCCCCCUGGGCUCACGAACCGGGACCAAUGCCCCCGUUGGUCCCGGUUCUGGACUGAACCGGGACUAAUGGGCUGACCCGGCCUGGACCAAAGCCCUGUUUUCUACUAGUGAGUCCAAUCUUGUGUUUAUUCCUCCAUGUCGGCAAAGAGUCAGUAGUCAAUCACCAAGCAAAAUUGCGCACAGUGGGGGGUACAUCACAUCUCCAUAUAUAUUGCCAGCAUUUUCUACUACCAUCUGGCGAUGUGCUAGAUGCCUCUACAGUAUUUCUGUGAGCUACUUCAAAAGCCAGCAUAUAUGCUGAUUUGACCGUGAAGACAUCGAGCUUCCCCGGCCCCCAUGCAAUCACAUCCUCACCUAAUCUUGGAGAUGCCCAUAUCUUUAAGAUUUCUUCCACAUCAGCUGAUAAGAAGUACUGCUGAAGAAGUACCAAGUUCCAAGAACCAUUAUCAUUUAGCAAGUCGGAGACAAAACGAAUGCGACAUCUUCCCUGCAGCGACACAGGUUUGUACGAAAAGGGCCUUGGAAUCCAGUUAUCUCUCCCCUUUGUUGGUAGUCAGAGUCACUAGGACAACUAACUGUGUUAGCAUCUAGAGUUGUAACAAGCCACAGUCCGCCUAUCUUGGUUGCACAGCGAUGAUGCUACCAUCUCCUACGACAAAGUACAUGCCUUGCACCGGAAACAGCGCAACCAUAUGACAUCUAUCCGAGUGGGCGACCACGUGGUGACCGGGCAUGAGGCCAUGGCUGAGGCCGCCUACAACCACUUCUCCGAUGUGCUCGGAAGUGCCAUGGAGCAUGACAUCACGCUUGAUCUCCGCGUUUUGCGUGUUCAACACAAUGCUACUCCGUGCGGUGGACCUAGGCCUUCUUCGACGCCUUACAACUCGGCACGCGGCCUCGAGUAUAUCGCUAUACGCGGACGAUGUUGUCAUCUUUUGUCACCCGGAUAGCCACCACAUUACCACCGUGUGAACCAUCCUACACAUAUUCGGGCUUCAUACAAACUUCGCCAAGUGUUCUGCCACCCCGAUCCGGUGCGAUGAUGACAACAACAUGAUGAUCACAUCUGAGAUGCAGUGCCCCAUAGCCCAAUUCCCCAUCACAUACCUCGGUUUGCCUCUCUCUAUCUGCAAGGCCUCCACGACUAGCUUGCUCCCAAUCAUUGACAAGAUCGGCCACAAGCUCUCCACUUGGCAUGCUUCCAUGAUGUCCAACGGGCAACGGCGACUGCCUUGCUCUCGUGCAUCACGUACUUAGUGCUAUCCCGACAUACUUCCUCACCACCUUUGCUCUCAACCAAUCCAUCCUCGUGAAAUUCAACCGCAUCAUCCGCGGAUUCCUUUGGGCGGGAGGCACCGAAGGCAAUGGGGGUCAGUGUCAUGUUAACUGACAGCAAGUUUGCAGGCCAAUCUCUCUUGGCGGUCUUAGCAUCAGGGACAUUCAAAGGACCGGCAUCACCCUCUGUGCAUGGUUGCUUUGGUUACAGUGCACCGACCCCUUGCAACCCUCGAGCCACUUACACAUACCUCACGACCCAGACGUGACUGCCAUCUUCAGCGCAUCUAGGACCUGGGAUCUUGGGUCCGGCGUCACCUGCAGAUUCUGGUCCGACCACUUGAUAGAGGGUAGAUCCGUGGUUGAGAUCCCCCCAGUCCUCGCCUCGUCCCUCGACGCCGACGCAAGACUCGCACCGUUCACGAGGGCCUCCACCUUAGAGCCUGGGUGCAAGAGAUUCAUGGAGCACUCGGACCGACGGCCAUGUUGCAAUAUGUUGAUCUUGAGCGACGUGUGCGCCACAUUGACCAGAUGAGCCGGAUACACUCAAAUGGCGCUGGACCGCCUCCGCUAUGAAAUGUCUAUGAUGGGAGAAUUUAAAUUCUUCUUAGGCCUUCAAAUUCUUCAACAGCGCAAUGGCAUCUUCAUAUUUCAGGAGAAAUACCUCAAGGAUGUAUUGUGGAAAUUCGGCAUGAAAGAUUGCAAAGGCGUCAAAAUCCCUAUGCCCACAAAUGGCCAUCUAUGCACUGAUGAAAAUGGUAUUGACUUUGAUCAAAAGGUAUACCGCUCCAUGAUUGGUUCUUUAUUGUAUUUAUGUGCAUCUAGGCCAGAUAUUAUGCUCAGUGUUUGCAUGUGUGCCCGAUUUCAACCUACACUGAAGGAAUCACACCAUAAGGCUGUGAAGCAUAUUCUUCGUUAUCUAGCUCACACACCAACACUUGGAUAUGGUAUCCCAAGGGCUCGGCUUUUGAUCUCAUUGGGUACUCACUCUGACUAUGCGGGUGAUCCUGUGGACCGCAAGUCAACAUCAGGCACAUGCCAUUUCCUCAGGCGAUCCUUGGUCUGUUGGUCCUCGAAGAAACAGAACUGCGUAUCACUGUCUACUGCUGAAGCUGAGUACAUUGCUGCUGGUUCUUGCUGUUCUCAAUUUCUAUGGAUGAAUCAAACCCUCAAGGACUACUACGUCAAUGUAAAGAAUGUGCCUCUCUACUAUGACAAUGAGAGUGCCAUCAAGAUUGCUCAUAACCCACUUCAGCAGUCGAAGACAAAGCACAUUCAAAUUUGUCAUCAUUUUCUUCGUGAUCAUGUGUUGAAGGGCGACAUUUCUAUUGAGCAUGUGAAGACUGGAGAACGGCUAGCCGGUAUCUUCACAAAGCCUUUGGAUGAGAAGAGAUUUAGCAAGUUGCGGUGUGAGCUAAAUAUCCUAGAAUCUUCGAAUGUCCUUUGAAAAGGACACACAUCCUAACACUUGUGCAAAGUUGAUGACUUAGACGUGCAACACACGAAGAAACGUUUUUCUUCAUUCAAUGAAGAUUAACACUCUAAGUGUGAAGAAAUUAACAAAGAAUUUGAUUCUCAGAGCCCUUCGACAAUUGUACAUGGUGUUUGAAAUCAUCAUUCUUAUACGGUGGGUCACGCCACCACCAAAAGUUGAAAAUCUUGAAUUUGAGUUUUUACUCAUUUUUGAAUUUCCUCAGUUGUUCAAAUUCUUCAACCCAUCCCACCUUAUCUUCUCAUACCCACUCCCCCCAAUUCCCUCUCUAUCUCUCCCGCAACCUCCCUUGCGCGGACGCCGCCAAACCACCACCUCCCCUGUGCCGCCGCGCCGCGACCUCCUCUGCGCCGCCGCGCCGCAACCUCCUCUCUGCGGCCGAGUCUGCUCCCCGGCGAUUCCCGAUCCACAACUGCCCCCAUUGCCCUUGCCUUCCUCUGCGCGCCGCCGCUCUAGGUCGCGUCCACCGCGUUCCACCACCACCAGCACAUCAGUACGGCGGUAGUGCGGCCCCGCUUCCGUUCCUCCAUGGCCGACCCCCUACCUCCCACCUUCUCCCUCCCGCCCCGAUCGACAACCUCCAUCACCGCCCCGGUCGUGUUGCCCCUCCCGACCCCGCGCCGCCGGAUCCGGGCAACCACGCCGGCGUGCCCUUCCACAAGCUUUCCCGUCGUGACCCUACCACGAGCUGCUCCAGCCCGACCCUGCUUCUUUAACAACGGCACGGUGGCAACUCCCCUUAGUUCACUCCUGCACCGGGGUCGCGAGCUCCGUUCACGGGCUCGCUGGAUCUCGUGAUUGGGGCGCUGGCGACGUGCUCUCCUACUCCACCGCGCCCCUCCUCUACUUCAGCUCCUAUGCCUGUGCCUCUCGUGGACUCAUCGGCGCACAGGCCGCUCUGGAUCCACGCUGGUUCGAGGCCCUGACGGCCUCCUCUUCCUGCUAAGUCACCGAGAUCCAUCGGGGUAUCAAGUUGUUUUGUCGGCCCAAUACUCCUUCUACCUUCCCUUGCCGGCGGUCGUGCAACUUCGGUGAACACCGCUACUCGCGCGCGGAUGACGACGGCGCAGUGGCACUGCAGUUCGCUUUGCAGGGGAUCCGUUGAUGCGGCCGUGGAGUUCGGCCCACAGGUGCAUGAAGUUAUCUUGCCCCCUCCCACAGUUUACCCUUCCGCAUGAGCCCCAUGCCAUAGUCCAUUGGGAAGAAGCUCGUGGUGCGGAUGUGCGGAUGCUCAGUGACAGUGCUGGUGUGUUUCAGAUUUUGUUUUUCUGCAAUUUGUAGGCGACGCUGGAGCAUUGCAGUUCAUUGGCUCGGGGCGAGCAGUGGAGAGGACACACGUGCGUGCAGUUCCCUGUCCAUUGAAAAUGUAGAAGCCCAUCUUGCUGCAAUGUAUGUGAGCAUAUGGCCUGCAAGUGAUGCUCUUUUCCCAGAUUGAAAACAUUGCAAUGUGGUUGGCUGGCCAUCGACGUGCACUUCGCUUUGGGGGGCAGUACGUUCUUUGUGGACGCGCACUUCGUUCGGCCCGAGCGGCAUGAAGCUCCGUUUGCGCGCAUGUGUGGCUUGGCUAACUAGUUUGUGCAGUCGCAUGAUACCUUUAUUAUGUGAUGCCUCCCUAGUUGCUGGAGUUCACUUCUUUGUAUUUAUUGAAACAUCAUGUAGUGCACUGUGAAACUCUCUGUUGUUCACUUGUAAAAACAAAUAGCGGUUCCCUUUGUAAAAAAAAGUGCAGCCCCUUAGUGGUUCACCUUGUAGAAAAUGAGAAAGAAAUCCCCAUGGGAGGUUCACUUCUUUUUCUAAUGCAAUUUGUUUUGUUUGUGGGAUGAUUGAAAAAAGAAGUUCACUCCACUUGUUUAGCAGCUCAUACCCCUUUGUAUGAAAUGCAAUUUGUUUCGUGUGUCUCAAAAUC